UGAAUAAUAUGUAGUAUUUAA
Molecule: non-coding RNA, 21 nt
Filed under: Caenorhabditis elegans
Lineage: Eukaryota; Metazoa; Nematoda; Chromadorea; Rhabditida; Rhabditidae
Source: RNAcentral